GGAAAGGGGGCGUGGUUGCUUCUCACCAACGGACCCACAACUCAGAGGUGAAUUUCUAAUGAACUAUUGCUAUUUUGCAAAAACUGUCCUAGAAAAUGACACAUUUUUUUUUAUUUUGGCUAAAAAAUGCAUAAUCAUAAUUAAAAGAGCACUUUGAAAGCUUUGAAAAUGGAUAAAAAGAUAAUUGGAGUAGGUCUUUAAAACACAGGGAAACAUUAAAAUCAGUGUUGAUCUCUCUGUUUAUCCUUUCAGCCACUUCUUUAAUUUAUUUUAUUUUUUCUAUGAAUUUAUAUGGGGAUGUAUGCAGCAUAUCCAUGUUAAAUUGCUUAACAGAGAAGUAAUGCUUGCAGACUUUAAUGCAUAUUUGUUGAAUCAACACCAAAGCCCGAACACGACCCCCGUCCUUUUGUCAGCAUGGUCUCUCCCAGAACCUUUAAUUUGUGUGCAGACCCCUGGGGAAACAUUUGCCCAAACACCCUGGAGUGAGCGUAGGAGACGACAGGUGAGCCACCAGCCUGCUCAGCACACAUCUGCGCUCCUUCCUGCCCUGAAAGAUCAAAGUCGGUGUGAAGGUAACAGGAGCAGCAGUCUAACCAGAGACGCCCCGCAUUCCUCUGCUCAGAACUUUCUCAAGUUCUGCUAAAAGAACCCCAAGGCUCUUCCACACCAGCAUACCCUGAAUCCUGCCUCAGGAGGCUCCUGAAAGAGAUGUCCAAACCAACUACUGGCAUUCACGCGACGAGGAUGAACAGCAGCUCUACUUUGAUCUUCUCUCAGUAAUUACACUUGGAAAAGCCUCAGGAUGUGGCCCAAAGAAUCCAUUCAGUGAGAGAUGGUGCAAAUUCAGGAAAAAAUGCACCGCAGCCAACAUCUGAAGGAGCUUGAGACUGACCUGGAGCACUCUGAAAUGACUACCUUUGGCCACAGCUGCGAGCAGAUUCCUGUUGCCAGGUGGAGGAGGAGAUGGAGGGAGCCGCCGGCCAUUAGCGGUGCCGGCUAUUGGAAGUAAAAAGAGAAGAAAUGUGGGGCAGCUUUGCCACCCGUUUGAAGUAGAGACAGCUUGUUUGUGAAGUAGAGGCAGCUUUCAUGUCCUGCUCUCAUGUGACCUGAGGAGAUCUUAGCUUCAUAAACCAUAUUGACUAGAUCCCCCUCGAAAAAUAAAGAAAUAAAAAAUGAAAUACCCCGACACAAUUUAUUCCAGCACUGAUGGAGCUCGGAAGCCUGCAGCUUUAUGAAGUGAGAUGAGUGGCUGAGUGGUGGGAGUUUCAAGGCCAUCGCUUGACGUGUUUCACCAACACAAGAACAUGGAAACAAUCUUAAGUGUUGACUCAUUACCUGAGUAGUAAAUAAGCGCUUUAAGGGAAUGGUGCGACAGUUAAUUUCGGGCUGCAUAAUAACACCAAUGCUGUGACAUCUGAUCAGGAUUCCUUAAUGAUACUGUCACACUCCAUCAGCACUCACUCUGCGACGCCGUAAACGAUUGUGUGAUUAAACAUGAAUUAAACGUGAAACCAUGAAAUUGCAAGUCCUCCCACCACCUUCUCCAAAGUUAAAGCGCGGGGCUCCUUCCAGAAAUGUUUUGACACAACUGCUGAUCCAGCUCUCGCAGAUUCGGGCUUGAGAGACUUAGACGUUUUUUUGUCGUCUCUGCAUUUCUGGGGAGGGAAUUGGCAGAUUAUUUGGUCAACCUCGAUCAGUUCCACCACAGCUUAGGGGGAUACAAGCUCGCUGACUAAUAUUGCCCAAAAUCCAUCAAAGUCAAAGGGCUUGUCCUUUUUUUAAGACUCGAGUGUUCCAAUCUGGCACUUGGCGCAUCAAAGCCUUCACAAACAGAGGCCGUACCCCGCCUGCGACUGCUCUGACUGAUCCAGACCAAAAUAAAUCGUGCCGUCUGACAGCAUGAAAGUACCUACUGUAACGUCGAACGAGACGACAGUUGGCUUUAAUCUUCAAAGCACCCUUGUGACAUCACAUAGUUUCUUUUAACGGUUUUAUAUCUAAAAAUAAAAAAAAGUUAACACGCAUCUCACUUCCCUCGAGCCCUUCAGAGGUCUUGACGUCCGUUCAGUUUGCAGUUGUGGAUGUACUGAUGUGCAUCACCUGUUGGCGUUCAAAUCUAACACUUCCAUGGUCAAAUAUCAAGUGGUAACGGUGAAUACAAGAAAAGCGGCGUGAUAAUUGUGUUCCGCCAGCAGUCCAGACCUCAGAUAUCUUCUUUGCCAGGAAAAACCUCAUCAUCUGAUGGCGUGGGAACAGUGUUGAUCCUGAGCGCACGGAAGAAAAUGACACAAAAGGAUAAAAAAAAAAACUUACAAAGGAACUUUAAAAUGGUGAACAUUUUUUCAUGAAUAGGUAACCUUAAAAAAGGCAAGAGUAAAAUAAUCCAUCUAAAAU
Molecule: long non-coding RNA, 2394 nt
Organism: Oryzias melastigma (Indian medaka)
Lineage: Eukaryota; Metazoa; Chordata; Actinopteri; Beloniformes; Adrianichthyidae
Exons: 4
Source: RefSeq, a predicted model, not a curated record